AUUCCUCCAACAAAUAAGACAGAGAACUGCCUGUUUUUUUGGUUCCCUAUCGAAGGACGGAGCUUGGAACAACAUUUAUAACGGUUUAAUGACACAAAGAGUAAAAGGUGCUGCAGCCCAUCCAUCUGCUGAAUGUUGCCAAGUAACAGCCAUCCAUGGAACAUGGAAAAAUGAAUUCACCCGGCCAGGCCCAAAUUGUCGACCCACAGAACAUGAGAUGCAGAAGCUCUAACCAAGGAUUCCUAGAGAGAAAGAGUAGAGCCAUGAGACGAAGGGAGCCUGGGUCCCUAAAUCACCAUGUCGGAGCUCUUCAGCGAAAAGCUGACGCUGAGCUGCUACGUGAGCAAGAGACACCUUGCCCAAUCUGAAACGAAGCCAAGCAAAGCAACAUCACCUUCUGGAAAGUGCAGAAACUGCAAUCAAGAUCAACAAAGAAAAGCACCCUUCCCAUAGAUUCAUCUCUUUGGCGUUUAAGUGUUUGGGCGAGUCUACAAAACUCAGAUUCCUCAUUUAACUAGAUGUUCCAGGUCACAGAGAUAUUCUACUAAGGCAAUUUUCAAAAGACCAUAAAACCACCACAUCAAUUUAUGCUUGCAGAUUUCUCCUAGUUUUCGUAUAGUGC
Molecule: long non-coding RNA, 622 nt
Filed under: Homo sapiens (human)
Lineage: Eukaryota; Metazoa; Chordata; Mammalia; Primates; Hominidae
Description: non-protein coding lnc-FAM172A-7:7
Source: RNAcentral